AUGCAUUGAUGUUCUGUUGUAAAGGAAUCUUAACCACUGAUUCCUAAGUGCAUCCACUUUCGGAAGACCAAAUAAAGUGCUUUUGCUUCUGCAUAGAAACACACAGCAUCUCCACUGCAUGGCAGCAACAACACU
Sinocyclocheilus grahami is the source of this 135-nucleotide long non-coding RNA. RefSeq lists it as uncharacterized. NCBI's taxonomy places the organism in Eukaryota, Metazoa, Chordata, Actinopteri, Cypriniformes, Cyprinidae. The record is from RefSeq and is a predicted model, not a curated record. The transcript is spliced from 3 exons.